This 116-nucleotide non-coding RNA is filed under the name Ignavibacteria bacterium. RNAcentral's name for it is "SAM-I sequence". It matches the Rfam family "SAM riboswitch aptamer (S box leader)". From Rfam's summary of the family: The SAM riboswitch is found upstream of a number of genes which code for proteins involved in methionine or cysteine biosynthesis in Gram-positive bacteria. The SAM riboswitch acts at the level of transcription termination control. The record is from RNAcentral. Lineage: Bacteria; Pseudomonadati; Ignavibacteriota; Ignavibacteria.
UCCUUAUCAAGAACGGCAGAGGGAACAGGCCCGAAGACGCCGUAGCAACCGAUCCCGAUUUACCGGGAUGUCAGGUGCUAAUUCCUGCCCCCGAUUGUUCGGGGGAAAGAUGAGAU